Molecule: non-coding RNA, 29 nt
Filed under: Mus musculus (house mouse)
Lineage: Eukaryota; Metazoa; Chordata; Mammalia; Rodentia; Muridae
Source: RNAcentral
UAGGCACUAAUGCUCAGCUCUAAGCAGGA